This is a non-coding RNA of Homo sapiens (human), 96 nucleotides long. Lineage: Eukaryota; Metazoa; Chordata; Mammalia; Primates; Hominidae. The record is from RefSeq and is marked provisional.
GGAGAGGGUGGGGGAGCCCGUCCCGGUCGCCGCGGUUCGCCGCCGCCCCUGGUGGCGGUCCGGCGACCGGCCCACCAUCGCUCCAGCGCCCCUCCU